RNAcentral lists this ribosomal RNA (440 nucleotides) under uncultured bacterium. RNAcentral's name for it is "partial 16S ribosomal RNA". It matches the Rfam family "Bacterial small subunit ribosomal RNA", at positions 338 to 795 of the family's 1533-position model. The record is from RNAcentral.
CCUACGGGGUGCAGCAGUGGGGAAUAUUGCACAAUGGGGGAAACCCUGAUGCAGCGACGCCGCGUGAGUGAAGAAGUAUUUCGGUACGUAAAGCUCUAUCAGCAGGGAAGAAAAUGACGGUACCUGACUAAGAAGCCCCGGCUAACUACGUGCCAGCAGCCGCGGUAAUACGUAGGGGGCAAGCGUUAUCCGGAUUUACUGGGUGUAAAGGGAGCGUAGACGGCAGCGCAAGUCUGGAGUGAAAUCCCAUGGCUUAACCAUGGAACUGCUUUGGAAACUGUGCAGCUAGAGUGCAGGAGAGGUAAGCGGAAUUCCUAGUGGAGCGGUGAAAUGCGUAGAUAUUAGGAGGAACACCAGUGGCGAAGGCGGCUUACUGGACUGUAACUGACGUUGAGGCUCGAAAGCGUGGGGAGCAAACAGGAUUAGAUACCCUGGUAGUC